RNAcentral lists this ribosomal RNA (442 nucleotides) under uncultured bacterium. Its description in RNAcentral is "partial 16S ribosomal RNA". It matches the Rfam family "Bacterial small subunit ribosomal RNA", at positions 338 to 795 of the family's 1533-position model. The record is from RNAcentral.
CCUACGGGUGGCAGCAGUGGGGAAUCUUGGGCAAUGGGCGAAAGCCUGACCCAGCAAUGCCGCGUGAGGGAAGAAGGCCUUCGGGUUGUAAACUUCUUUUACAGGGGAAGAGCAUACGACGGUACCCUUAAAACAAGCCACGGCUAACGACGUGCCAGCAGCCGCGGUAAUACGUAGGUGGCAAGCGUUGUCCGGAUUUACUGGGUGGAAAGGGCGGGUAGGCGGGAUGGUAAGUCGGAUGUGAAAGCCUGUGGCUCAACCGCCGAAGUGCAUUUGACACUGUUAUUCUUGGGUGCUGGAGAGGCAGGUGGAAUUCCAUGUGUAGCGGUGAAAUGCGUAGAGAUAAGGAGGAACACCAGUGGCGAAGGCGAUCUGCUGGACAGCAACUGACGGUGAGGCGCGAAAGCGUGGGGAGCAAACAGGAUUAGAUACCCCAGUAGUC